GACGAACGCUGGCGGCGUGCUUAACACAUGCAAGUCGAACGGAAAGGCCCUGCCUUUGUGGGGUGCUCGGGUGACGGACGGGUGAGUAACCGGUGCGUAACCUGCCCUUGACUUUGGGAUAACUUCAGGUAACUGGGGACAAUACCGGAUCGGAGCUCCUGCUGCGUGGUGGGGGUUGGAAAGUUUGGGCGGGUGGGGAUGGACUCGCGGCUUAUCAGCUUGUUGGUGGGGUAGUGGCUGACCAAGGCUUUGAAGGGUAGCCGGCCUGAGAGGGUGACCGGCGACAUGGGGACUGCGAUACGGCCCAGACUCCUAUGGGAGGCAGCAGUGGGGAAUAUUGCACAAUGGUCGGAAGCCUGAUGCAGCAACGCCGGGUGCGGGAUGAGGGCCUUCGGGUUGUAAACCGCUUUCGCCUGUGACGGAGCGUGAGUGACGGUAAUGGGUAAAGAAGCACCGGCUAACUACGUG
RNAcentral lists this ribosomal RNA (468 nucleotides) under uncultured bacterium. Its description in RNAcentral is "partial 16S ribosomal RNA". It matches the Rfam family "Bacterial small subunit ribosomal RNA", at positions 28 to 507 of the family's 1533-position model. The record is from RNAcentral.